UGUUGACAAAAAUCAAUGCUUGGGAUAUCCCUGCCCUAUUCAAUGGUGGCCUUAAUGACGUUUCAAAGUAGUACUGUUCUUUAUCAGAUCAGAAGUCCUUCUAGACUCAAAACACUUCUGAGUUUGUCCGUCCGUUAUGACCAGGAUGUUUAAUGAAGGUAGUAAAGAAAAUAAUACAGACACCUGGUUUGUUUUAGACAACUGUAUGUUCUCUCCUUACUGUAAACUACUACAACACCAACAAUUGUUACAUACACAAAAGAGCCUCCAAGACAACCAAGCAAUUAUUUAACAGUUACAAAAAGAACUGAUCAAUAUAUAUUGCUGUCAUUUUUGUUAUGAAAUUAUUCAAUAAUUAAAAUUAAAAGCCCUUCUUUCUUUUUUUGUAACUACACAAUUCUUUUAUUAUUUUUUCUCAUGUAGAAAAACUAGAGGCUCUCAAGAGCCUGUGUCGCUCACCUGUAUUUACUGAUGCUUUGGAAAUCAUGUAAAAUAAGGUUAAAAUCAUAAUUAAUAGUAUUAGAUAUUAGAUAUUAUAAUGAUAUCUAAGAUAAUAACAAAAAACUGCAAAAACUCAGGGGCAGCAACCCAACAACAGGUUGUCGGAUUUGUCUGAAAAUUUCAGGGCAGAUAAAUCUAAAUCUGAUGAACAUUUUUGCCACCUGUCAGAUAUGCUCUAAAUGCUUUAGUUUCAGAGAUAUAAACCAAAAACUGCAUUUUACCCCUAUGUUCUAUUUUUAACCAAGUCGGCCAUGAUGGUUGGAAGGCGGGGUCAUCGGACAAAUUUUUUAAACUAGAUACCCUAAUAAUGAUUAUGGCCAAGUAUGGUUAAAUUUGUCUCAGUAGUUUCAGAGAAGGAAGAUUUUGGUAAAAGAUUACAAAAAUUUACAAAAAAUUGUUAAAAAUUGACUAUUAAGGGCAAUAACUCCUAAAGGGGUCGACUGACAAUUUUGGUCAUGACAACUUAUUUGUAGAUCUUACUUUGCUGAACAUUAUUGCUGUUUACAGUUUAUCUCUAUCUAUAAUAAUAUUCAAGAUAAUAACCAAAAACUGCAAAAUUUCCUUAAAAUUACCAAUUCAGGGGCAGCAACCCAAACAGGUUGUCAGAUUUGUCUGAAAAUUUCAGGGCAGAUAGAUCUUGACCUGUUUAUCAGUUUUACCCAAGUCAGAUUUACUCUAAAUGCUUUGGUUUCAGAGAUAUAAGCCAAAAUCUACAUUUUACCCCUAUGUUCUAUUUUUAGCCAUGGCGGCCAUCUUGGUUGGUUGGCGGGGUCAUCGGACACAUUUUUUAAACUAGACACCUUAAUGAUGAUUGUGACCAAGUUUGGUUAAAUUUGGCCCAGUGGUUUCAGAGGAGAAGAUUUUUAAAAAGGUACAUAGCUACAAAAAAGCUAACGACGACGGACACCAAGUGAUGAGAAAAGCUCACUUGGCCCUUCGGGCCAGGUGAGCUAAAAAAGUAAAACAAGCAUUCUGAGAGUAUUGCAUGGCAAUACAUGGUCCCCUACCGGUUGAAAAUUCAUUGUACAGAAACAAAAUGCUAAAUUAAUCUAUAACUUGUCAUGGUGUAAACUAUAUAACAAAUAUCAAGUCAAUAUCUUCAAGCAUGACGAAAAUAGUGUGGAAAACUGAUUAUUUAAGUGAAUUUUCUAAGUCCAAGGACCAUAUCUCUAAACAAAAUCAUCAGAUCGGAACAAAAUUCGAACUUGAUCUGUAACUUGUCAUGAUAAAACUAUAUACCAAUUAUCAAAUCAAUAUCUUUUAGCAUUAUUUGAGGGAAUUUUCUAAGUCCAAGGACCAUAACUCUGCACAAAAUCAUCAGACCGGAUACAAAUUCAAACUUGAUCUGUAACUUGUCAUGAUAAAACUAUAUACCAAUUAUCAAAUCAAUAUCUUCAAGCAUGACUAAAAUAAAAUGCUCCGCUGGGUGCAGCUUGAUACGACCGCAGAGGUCGAACCCUGAACAGUUGGGGCAAGUAUGGACACAACAUUCAAGCUUGAUACAGCUCUGAAUUUGGAUUGUGAUUAAAUAUUUGACACAGCAUAGGUUUCUGACACAGAAAGAAUGUGGUCUAAGAACUUGAAUUUUUUUAAUUUACCUAUUAUGGUCCAAUGUCCAAAAUCAAAAUACAUGGUUAGAUUCAGCAUAUCAAAGAACCCCAUAUAUUCAAUUUUUGUUAAAAUCAAACAAAGUUUAAUUUUGGACCCCAACUUGGACAAACUUGAAAACUGGGCCCAUAAUCAAAAAUCUAAACACAUGUUUAGAUUCAGCAUAUCAAAGAACCCCAAGAAUUCAAUUUUUGCUAAAAUCAAACUAAGUUUAAUUUUGGACCCUUUGGACCUUAAUGUAGACCAAUUUAAAAAACGGGACUUAAAAUUAAAAAUCUAAAUACACGGUUAGAUUUGGAAUAUCAAAGAACCCCAAUAAUUCAAUUUUUGAUGAAAUCAAACAAAGUUUAAUUUUGGACCCUUUUGACCUCAAUAUGAACCAAUUUGAUAGCGGGGCCCACAAAUAAAAAAUCUAAAUUCAUGGUUAGAUUCAGCAUAUCAAAGAACCCCAUAUAUUCAAUUUUUGUUGAAAUCAAAAAAAGUUUAAUUUUGGACCACAACUUGGACCAACUUGAAAACUGGGCCCAUAAUCAAAAAUCUAAACACAUGUUUAGAUUCAGCAUAUCAAAAAACCCCAAGAAUUCAAUUUUUGUUAAAAUCAAACUAAGUUUAAUUUUGGACCCUUUGGACCUCAAUGAAGAACAAUUUAAAAAACGGGACCCAAAUUAAACAUCUAAAAACACGGUUAGAUUUAGCAUAUCAAAGAACCCCAAUAAUUCAAUUUUUGAUGAAAUCAAACAAAGUUUAAUUUUGGAACCUUUUGACCUCAAUAUGAACAAAUUUGAUAGCGGGGCCUACAAAUAAAAAAUCUAAAUACAUGGUUAGAUUCAGCAUAUCAAAGAACCUCAUAUAUUCAAUUUUUGUUGAAAUUAAACAAAGUUUAAUUUUGGACCCCAAUUUGGACCAACUUGAAAACUGGGCCCAUAAUCAAAAAUCUAAAUACAUGUUUAGAUUCAGCAUAUCAAAGAACCCAUAUAUUCAAUUUUUGUUGAAAUCAAACAAAGUUUAAAUACUGGACCCUAUCUUGGACCAACUUGAAAACUGGGCCCAUAAUCAAAAAUCUAAACACAUGUUUAGAUUCAGCAUAUCAAAGAACCCCAAGAAUUCAAUUUUUGUUAAAAUCAAACUAAGUUUAAUUUUGGACCCUUUGGACCUUAAUGUAGACCAAUUUAAAAAACAGGACCCAAAAUUAAAAAUCUAAAUACACGGUUAGAUUCGGAAUAUCAAAGAGCCCCAAUAAUUCAAUUUUAGAUGAAAUCAAACAAAGUUUAAUUUUGGACCCUUUUGACCUCAAUAUGAACCAAUUUGAUAACGGGGUCCACAAAUAAAAAAUCUAAAUACAUGGUUAGAUUCAGCAUAUCAAAGAACCCCAUAUAUUCAAUUUUUGUUGAAAUCAAACAAAGUUUAAUUUUGGACCCCAAUUUGGACCAACUUGAAAACUGGGCCAAAAAUCAAAAAUCUAAAUACAUGUUUAGAUUCAGCAUAUCAAAGAACCUCAUAUGUUCAAUUUUUGCUAAAAUCAAUCAAAGUUUAAUUUUGGACCCUUUGGACCUUAAUGUAGACUAUUUUGAAAACUGGACCCAAAAUUAAAAAUCUAAAUACACUGUUAAAUUCGGCAUAACAAAUAAAUAAAUGUGAUCAAAGAUUUUACAAAUCUAAUGCGCCAUACUGUGCAAUUAAAGAUUACUUCUUGAAAA
Molecule: long non-coding RNA, 3806 nt
Organism: Mytilus californianus (California mussel)
Lineage: Eukaryota; Metazoa; Mollusca; Bivalvia; Mytilida; Mytilidae
Exons: 2
Source: RefSeq, a predicted model, not a curated record